AACGAACGCUGGCGGCAUGCCUAACACAUGCAAGUCGAACGAGACCUUCAGGUCUAGUGGCGCACGGGUGCGUAACGCGUGGGAACCUGCCCUUAGGUUCGGAAUAACUCCCCGAAAGGGGUGCUAAUACCGGAUAAUGUCUUCGGACCAAAGAUUUAUCGCCUUUGGAUGGGCCCGCGUUGGAUUAGCUAGUUGGUAGGGUAAAAGCCUACCAAGGCGACGAUCCAUAGCUGGUCUGAGAGGAUGAUCAGCCACACUGGGACUGAGACACGGCCCAGACUCCUACGGGAGGCAGCAGUGGGGGAUAUUGGACAAUGGGCGAAAGCCUGAUCCAGCAAUGCCGCGUGAGUGAUGAAGGCCUUAGGGUUGUAAAGCUCUUUUACCCGGGAUGAUAAUGACAGUACCGGGAGAAUAAGCUCCGGCUAACUCCGUG
RNAcentral lists this ribosomal RNA (433 nucleotides) under uncultured bacterium. RNAcentral's name for it is "partial 16S ribosomal RNA". It matches the Rfam family "Bacterial small subunit ribosomal RNA", at positions 29 to 507 of the family's 1533-position model. The record is from RNAcentral.